Molecule: ribosomal RNA, 525 nt
Filed under: Salmonella enterica
Lineage: Bacteria; Pseudomonadati; Pseudomonadota; Gammaproteobacteria; Enterobacterales; Enterobacteriaceae
Description: partial 23S ribosomal RNA
Rfam family: Bacterial large subunit ribosomal RNA
Source: RNAcentral
CGUGCUAAUCUGCGAUAAGCGCCGGUAAGGUGAUAUGAACCGUUAUAACCGGCGAUACCCGAAUGGGGAAACCCAGUGUGACUCGUCACACUAUCAUUAACUGAAUCCAUAGGUUAAUGAGGCGAACCGGGGGAACUGAAACAUCUAAGUACCCCGAGGAAAAGAAAUCAACCGAGAUUCCCCCAGUAGCGGCGAGCGAACGGGGAGGAGCCCAGAGCCUGAAUCAGCAUGUGUGUUAGUGGAAGCGUCUGGAAAGGCGCGCGAUACAGGGUGACAGCCCCGUACACAAAAGCGCAUGUGCUGUGAGCUCGAUGAGUAGGGCGGGACACGUGGUAUCCUGUCUGAAUAUGGGGGGACCAUCCUCCAAGGCUAAAUACUCCUGACUGACCGAUAGUGAACCAGUACCGUGAGGGAAAGGCGAAAAGAACCCCGGCGAGGGGAGUGAAAAAGAACCUGAAACCGUGUACGUACAAGCAGUGGGAGCACAGGUUUACCUGUGUGACUGCGUACCUUUUGUAUAAUGGG